This 460-nucleotide ribosomal RNA is filed under the name uncultured bacterium. RNAcentral's name for it is "partial 16S ribosomal RNA". It matches the Rfam family "Bacterial small subunit ribosomal RNA", at positions 338 to 795 of the family's 1533-position model. The record is from RNAcentral.
CCUACGGGAGGCAGCAGUGAGGAAUAUUGGUCAAUGGGCGCGAGCCUGAACCAGCCAAGUCGCGUGAAGGAUGACUGCCCUACGGGUUGUAAACUUCUUUUAUAAGGGAGUAAAGUGAGGCACGUGUGCCGUUAUGGAUGUACUCUAACAAUAAGGCACCGGCAACUACGUUCCAGCAGCCGCGGUCAUACGGAGGAUUCGAGGGUUAUCCGGAUUUAGUGGGUUUAAAGGGAGCGCAGAUGGGAUGUUAAGUCAGUUGUGAAAGAUUGGGGCUCAACCCUAGUAUUGCAAUUGAUACUGGCAGUCUUGAGUACAGUAGAGGUAGGCGGAAUUCGUGGUGUAGCGGUGAAAUGCGUAGAUAUCACGAAGAACUCCGAUUGCGAAGGCAGCCUACUAGACUGCCACUGACACUGAUGCUCGAAAGUGUGGGUAUCAAACAGGAUUAGAUACCCUUGUAGUC